This is a long non-coding RNA of Erpetoichthys calabaricus (reedfish), 536 nucleotides long. RefSeq lists it as uncharacterized. The record is from RefSeq and is a predicted model, not a curated record. The transcript has 2 exons. Lineage: Eukaryota; Metazoa; Chordata; Cladistia; Polypteriformes; Polypteridae.
AUACAACAACAACAACAUUUAUUUAUAUAGCACAUUUUCAUACAAAAAGUAGCUCAAAGUGCUUUACAUAAUGAAGAAAAGAAAAAUAAAAGACAAAAUAAGAAAUUAAAAUAAGACAACAUUAGUUAACAUGGAAAAGGAGUAAGGUCCGAUGGCCAGGGUGGACAGAAAAAACAAAAAAAAAACUCCAGACAGCUGGAGAAAAAAAUAAAAUCUGCAGGGGUUCCAGGCCACGAGACUGCCUAGUCCCCUCUGGGCAUGCUACCUAACAUAAAUGAAAUAGUCCUCUUUGUAGUUAGGGUUCUCACGGAGUCACUUGAUGUUGAUGGUCAUACAGACUUCUGGCUUUUAAUCCAUUCAUCAUUGUUGGAACAUCACGGUGCUUUGAGUAGAUGGUGGAUUGCGCCACCACAAAGAAACCGGAAAAAGAAACAGAAGAGAGAGUAGGGGUUAGUAUGGAUUUUAGAGCCACCUUGAAUAGUUAUUAUAAUAAAUUGGAUAUACAGAGUAUCAGGAUUAAAUUAAAGUGAAGUUAU